GCUCGGUUGGCGCAAUCGGUAGCGCGACGGUAUGAUAAGCCGCAGGUUGUGAGUUCGAGUCUCAUACUGAGCA
Molecule: non-coding RNA, 73 nt
Organism: Hydractinia symbiolongicarpus
Lineage: Eukaryota; Metazoa; Cnidaria; Hydrozoa; Anthoathecata; Hydractiniidae
Source: the annotation of a RefSeq genome assembly